AAGGGUUUGAUCCUGGCUCAGGAUGAACGCUGGCGGCGUGCCUAAUACAUGCAAGUCGAGCGAACGGACGAGAAGCUUGCUUCUCUGAUGUUAGCGGCGGACGGGUGAGUAACACGUGGAUAACCUACCUAUAAGACUGGGAUAACUUCGGGAAACCGGAGCUAAUACCGGAUAAUAUUUUGAACCGCAUGGUUCAAAAGUGAAAGACGGUCUUGCUGUCACUUAUAGAUGGAUCCGCGCUGCAUUAGCUAGUUGGUAAGGUAACGGCUUACCAAGGCAACGAUGCAUAGCCGACCUGAGAGGGUGAUCGGCCACACUGGAACUGAGACACGGUCCAGACUCCUACGGGAGGCAGCAGUAGGGAAUCUUCCGCAAUGGGCGAAAGCCUGACGGAGCAACGCCGCGUGAGUGAUGAAGGUCUUCGGAUCGUAAAACUCUGUUAUUAGGGAAGAACAUAUGUGUAAGUAACUGUGCACAUCUUGACGGUACCUAAUCAGAAAGCCACGGCUAACUACGUGCCAGCAGCCGCGGUAAUACGUAGGUGGCAAGCGUUAUCCGGAAUUAUUGGGCGUAAAGCGCGCGUAGGCGGUUUUUUAAGUCUGAUGUGAAAGCCCACGGCUCAACCGUGGAGGGUCAUUGGAAACUGGAAAACUUGAGUGCAGAAGAGGAAAGUGGAAUUCCAUGUGUAGCGGUGAAAUGCGCAGAGAUAUGGAGGAACACCAGUGGCGAAGGCGACUUUCUGGUCUGUAACUGACGCUGAUGUGCGAAAGCGUGGGGAUCAAACAGGAUUAG
Molecule: ribosomal RNA, 792 nt
Filed under: uncultured bacterium
Lineage: Bacteria
Description: bacterial SSU rRNA
Rfam family: Bacterial small subunit ribosomal RNA
Source: RNAcentral